RNAcentral lists this ribosomal RNA (601 nucleotides) under uncultured bacterium. Its description in RNAcentral is "bacterial SSU rRNA". It matches the Rfam family "Bacterial small subunit ribosomal RNA", at positions 737 to 1342 of the family's 1533-position model. The record is from RNAcentral.
UUACUGACGCUAAAGCUCGAAGGUGCGGGUAUCGAACAGGAUUAGAUACCCUGGUAGUCCGCACGGUAAACGAUGGAUGCCCGCUGUUUGCGAUAUACUGUGAGCGGCCAAGAGAAAUCGUUAAGCAUCCCACCUGGGGAGUACGCCGGCAACGGUGAAACUCAAAGGAAUUGACGGGGGCCCGCACAAGCGGAGGAACAUGUGGUUUAAUUCGAUGAUACGCGAGGAACCUUACCCGGGCUUGAACUGCAGGAGAACGAUACAGAGAUGUUGAGGUCCUUCGGGACUCCUGUGGAGGUGCUGCAUGGUUGUCGUCAGCUCGUGCCGUGAGGUGUCGGCUUAAGUGCCAUAACGAGCGCAACCCUUUUCGUCAGUUGCCAUCAGGUGAAGCUGGGCACUCUGGCGAUACUGCCACCGUAAGGUGUGAGGAAGGUGGGGAUGACGUCAAAUCAGCACGGCCCUUACGUCCGGGGCUACACACGUGUUACAAUGGGGAGUACAGAGAGUCAACCGCCGGCAACGUCGGUUUAAUCAAGAAAGCUCUCCUCAGUUCGGAUUGGGGUCUGCAACCCGACCCCAUGAAGCUGGAUUCGCUAGUAAU